UAAUACAUUUCGCAUUAUUCAUAUCCAAAAGAACGUAUCAAAGCAUGCCACUAAGCAAAAACAAAAACGAAUGUAUCAAUCGCUCGCGCUUUCUACCUUUUUUUUUUUUUUUUUAUUU
This 118-nucleotide non-coding RNA is filed under the name Aurantiochytrium limacinum. Lineage: Eukaryota; Bigyra; Thraustochytrida; Thraustochytriidae. The record is from RNAcentral.